GAUUUUAAAAUUAAAAAGUGAAUUGUUACUCUAUGAUUUUCUUCAUUCUUACCCACGUGAGAUGGAAGAAGCUUCGUUUAGUUUGUAGAAUUAUAUAACAUGGAAAUUAAAUAUACUAUAGACUAGCUAUUAUUCAAUAAAUUCGUAAUUGACAAGAAUGUAUAUUCUAUACAGUAACAAUGUUUUUUUUAACAGCAGAAAGAU
This 204-nucleotide unclassified non-coding RNA is filed under the name Hevea brasiliensis (rubber tree). The record is from RNAcentral. Lineage: Eukaryota; Viridiplantae; Streptophyta; Magnoliopsida; Malpighiales; Euphorbiaceae.